AAGCAGAGGAGCAUAGAAGUCCUGAGGAUAGAAACAACUGAGGUCCUGCCCUGCCAUUAGCUGCAACAAAGCAGGGAAAUUGAGAAUGUUUAUUUAUUCUUUCAGCCAGUCAGAAAUGUUUAACCUUAUCAAUGAUCUUAGAAGCGAUCUCCCUGAGAAAUCUUGAAGUGAUGCACUCUUUGAGAUGCAUUUGGGACAGGCCAAGGUGUAAAUGUAUGCAGAUUCCCUUAGGAUCAGUUUUUCAGUUGCAGCUGAGGUUGGCAGAGUCUUCGACACCAAUCAGGCAUGUUGCUCCUGAGUUUCACCAUGGGAAGGAUUUCAGUGCCUGGGUAUGGUGACAGUAGGGGCUUAUUUGCAAUACUAGCUGUGGGGAAGGAGAAGCUGAGCUUUCCAGUCUGCUUGCUGAGCUUUUCCCAUGCUUUUUUCCCCAGCUUUCCAGUGAUGCACAGCACAGUCUCUCCUGGACAUGGACAAGCAAACCCUGCCUUCCAGAACCAGAAGUUUCUCUCUCUGGGAUACCAGCACCUUGUAUGUCCACCCAGAAGAUGCAAAGACUAUAAGCUUACAGCGCGGGAGAAUGAGCCAGGAGAGCCGAGCGUGGCGUUCCCACCCGUGACCAUGGCAGAGCACAGCCUGAUGCAGGGAUGGGAGACCCAAAGGGAUGCUGCGGUGCUGCAAAAACAAGGUAAAGCCUUUCUGCUUUAUGUCAUUUUAUUCCCAAGGGAUCUGUGGUAAAGCCCCUACCCCUUCUGUGAGAACAGAUAAAUCAUUUCGGAGCAAUUUUUACUAUCUCUAUUCCCUCUGCUGUGUAUUGGAGGACUGUUUUUCACCAGGAUCUCUAUUUCAUAGAUUCACAUUAGUAAAUUCAUAGAAUCACAGAAUGGCUUGGGUUGGAAGGGACCUCAAAGUUCCAACCCCUAUUUCUUACUUAAAGCUGUCAGGACAAUGCAGUUAUGAAUCAGGCCAAGUCGUUGUUGCUAUAUCAGAAGAAACCUAAGAACGGACUGGCUUUAAUAAGAAAUAAGUUAUAAUCCAUCCCCACAGUUAAAAUUCACGCAUAUGUGACUAUCAAAGCAGCGAUCACACAUUGCUCAUGCACAUUUACAAUCAGUUUCGUUUACAUUUUGGGAUGUACAGUAAGCAUUUAUUUUUGCAGGGAAUAUUUGCUACCCAAGAAAUUUUAGUGGCUCCCUGUUGUAGGAACCAGCCCCUCUGCUUAUCCACAGGCUGAACACAGCUCAGACAGGCGGCGUCUGAGCUCCCUGCACCGCCGCAGUGCUGAACUUAGGCUCAAAUGGGAGAAAUUGCCUCUCUUCAAGAUGAGAGGGGAUUCAUUUUCCAUGCUAGCUCUUUCCUGGGGGUCUUUGCCAAGAAGAGAAAAACCACUUGCAGUUUUCUGUCUUUUCACCAUUUUUUUUUUUUUUUUUUUAAAGAACAUCAAAGUUAUCACUCCUGCUUUC
Molecule: long non-coding RNA, 1460 nt
Filed under: Phasianus colchicus (ring-necked pheasant)
Lineage: Eukaryota; Metazoa; Chordata; Aves; Galliformes; Phasianidae
Description: lncRNA (ENSPCLG00000018613.1)
Source: RNAcentral